Molecule: ribosomal RNA, 424 nt
Filed under: uncultured Oscillatoria sp.
Lineage: Bacteria; Bacillati; Cyanobacteriota; Cyanophyceae; Oscillatoriales; Oscillatoriaceae
Description: bacterial SSU rRNA
Rfam family: Bacterial small subunit ribosomal RNA
Source: RNAcentral
GGGGAAUCUUCCACAAUGGGCGGGCGCCUGACGGAGCAAGACCGCGUACGGGAGGACGGCCUAUUGGUUGAAAACCGCUUUUGAUAGGGAAGAAGCUCUGACGGUACCUAUCGAAUCAGCAUCGGCUAACUCCAUGCCAGCAACCACGGUAGUCUGGAGGAUGCAAGCGUUAUCCGGAAUUAUUGGGCGUAAAGCGUCCGUAGGUGGUUGUUCAAGUCUGCUGUUAAAGCGUGCGGCUUAACCGCAUACCAGCAGUGGAAACUGGGCGACUAGAGUGCGGUAGGGGUCAGGGGAAUUCCCAGUGUAGCGGUGAAAUGCGUAGAUAUUGGGAAGAACACCAGCGGCGAAAGCGCGUGACUGGGCCUGAACUGACACUGAGGGACGAAAGCUAGGGGAGCGAAUGGGAUUAGAUACCCCAGUAGUC